UACGAAGGGGGCUAGCGUUGCUCGGAAUCACUGGGCGUAAAGCGCACGUAGGCGGAUCUUUAAGUCAGGGGUGAAAUCCUGGAGCUCAACUCCAGAACUGCCUUUGAUACUGGGGAUCUCGAGUCCGGGAGAGGUGAGUGGAACUGCGAGUGUAGAGGUGAAAUUCGUAGAUAUUCGCAAGAACACCAGUGGCGAAGGCGGCGACCUGGGUCGAGACUGACGCUGAGGCGCGAAGGCGUGGGGAGCAAACAGG
RNAcentral lists this ribosomal RNA (253 nucleotides) under uncultured bacterium. Its description in RNAcentral is "partial 16S ribosomal RNA". It matches the Rfam family "Bacterial small subunit ribosomal RNA", at positions 524 to 776 of the family's 1533-position model. The record is from RNAcentral.